UAAAAGAAAGUGUACAAUUUUUUUACCACAAAUCUUUUAAAUUAUAACACAACAAUGGCAAAGGUCUUUACAGUAAAGACAUUAAUUUAUUCAAACUAAAGGACACAAACAUCAACGAAACUCUUCGAAAUUAAAAUAUGAAACAUUUUAGCUUAGAAACACAAUUAGAUAUUUUCAAGAAUAAAAGACAUUUUCCAUGUUCAAUAGGAAUGCACCCUUCGUGGAAUUCCUGCAAAAUUAACAAUAUUGGGAGUCAAAAUUCACAAAAUAUAUAUAGAGAAAUGAUAUAAUAAGUAUUGGUGCUUAUCUUGUUCUAAGUACCGAUGA
Molecule: long non-coding RNA, 327 nt
Filed under: Olea europaea (common olive)
Lineage: Eukaryota; Viridiplantae; Streptophyta; Magnoliopsida; Lamiales; Oleaceae
Description: long non-coding RNA (OEUR_LNC014075)
Source: RNAcentral